This is a non-coding RNA of Ataeniobius toweri, 97 nucleotides long. The record is from the annotation of a GenBank genome assembly. NCBI's taxonomy places the organism in Eukaryota, Metazoa, Chordata, Actinopteri, Cyprinodontiformes, Goodeidae.
AGCACUGUGUGGCUCAGUUGGUAGAGCAGGUCCACCAUGUGCAGAGGCUAUAGUCCUCAACGCUGUUGUCCUGGGUUUGAUUCCCGGUCCUUGGCCA